This 253-nucleotide ribosomal RNA is filed under the name uncultured bacterium. RNAcentral's name for it is "partial 16S ribosomal RNA". It matches the Rfam family "Bacterial small subunit ribosomal RNA", at positions 524 to 776 of the family's 1533-position model. The record is from RNAcentral.
UACGUAGGGGGCAAGCGUUGUCCGGAUUUAUUGGGCGUAAAGCGCUCGCAGGUGGUUCGUCGCGUCGUGCGUGAAAGACCCCGGCUCAACUGGGGAGGGUCGUGCGAUACGGGCGGACUGGAGGCCAGUAGGGGGAUGCGGAAUUCCGGGUGUAGUGGUGGAAUGCGUAGAGAUCCGGAGGAGCACCAGCGGCGAAGGCGGCAUCCUGGACUGGUCCUGACACUCAGGAGCGAAAGCGUGGGGAGCGAUCCGG